RNAcentral lists this ribosomal RNA (450 nucleotides) under uncultured bacterium. Its description in RNAcentral is "bacterial SSU rRNA". It matches the Rfam family "Bacterial small subunit ribosomal RNA", at positions 355 to 825 of the family's 1533-position model. The record is from RNAcentral.
UGGGGAAUUUUCCGCAAUGGGCGAAAGCCUGACGGAGCGACGCCGCGUAUGGGAUGAAGUAUUUAGGUAUGUAAACCAUUGUCAGUGGGGACGAAACAAAUGACGGUACCCACAGAGGAAGCAUCGGCUAACUCUGUGCCAGCAGCCGCGGUAAUACAGAGGUGGCAAGCGUUGUUCGGAAUUACUGGGCGUAAAGGGCGCGUAGGCGGCCUACUAAGUCAGACGUGAAAUCCCCCGGCUUAACCUGGGAACUGCGUCUGAUACUGGAAGGCUUGAGUAUGGGAGAGGGAUGUAGAAUUCCAGGUGUAGCGGUGAAAUGCGUAGAUAUCUGGAGGAAUACCGGUGGCGAAGGCGGCAUCCUGGACCAUUACUGACGCUGAGGCGCGAAAGCUAGGGGAGCAAACGGGAUUAGAGACCCCUGUAGUCCCUGAGCGGGCUGGCAAGGCGCAU